This 1910-nucleotide long non-coding RNA is filed under the name Solanum tuberosum (potato). Its description in RNAcentral is "long non-coding RNA (STUB_LNC009487)". Lineage: Eukaryota; Viridiplantae; Streptophyta; Magnoliopsida; Solanales; Solanaceae. The record is from RNAcentral.
CUGGUGUUUUUCUUAUCUUUUCCAGAAAGCAAAGAGAUAGGACUUUUCAUCUUUGUGGGUGGUGAUUUUCUUAUCUUUUCCAGAAAGCAAAGAGAUAAGACUAUGUUCUCUAAGUAAGAGCAGCUAAAGAGUAGUAAUAGAGACAUCCAUGUAACAAUUGAUUACUUGAAGCAAACUACUGCAAAAUAAAAAAAUGUACAUCAGGCAUCAAAUGACAACUUGAAUAAACUUCAAUAGAUGUAUCCGAGGACAAGUUUUGGGGUGUCUGACCCUAGAGAUGCUCAAGCUAAUUGCUUGUGGUACUAGUUGUCUAUUGCAGUCACUAGACUUAAUUUUAUGUUCUCUUCCCCUCCUCCUAAAUUGUGUUACUUUUUUUGUUAGAUUUUCAUCCUCUUUUGUGGACUUUAUUUUGGUAUAGCUCAUCUUCACACUAUUAGAAGUACAAAAUGAAAGUUGCAUAGCAAGUUGUAUAAUUGUCAACUGAAAAUACUAACUAACAAGGUUGCAAAUGAUACCAAGAAAGUCAUAAAGCAAUAAAAAAGACAAUGAUUAGGUCAUAAUGACUUUCUAACAUAUAGGUUCAAGUUUCACUUAAUUUGAUGGUAAACCAAAUACUGAACUUAAAACAGAAAGAACAACGAAGAAGAAAAAAGAACAUUAAGAUGGACUAAAUUGAACUAAAUAUAGAAAAAAUUAACUAUAGCAAUAUAAAUAUUAUCUAAUCUAGAUUUUGUUCCCUGAAAUGAGUAACAUAUGAGGCUAAUAAAAUUACAGCCACAAUUCACAAAUACUCUAAAUCAAAAAUCAUGUAACACCCCAUUAUGUAAACAAGCUCAAAAAUCUGACCUAGAAUACUUACUUCUGGAAUUUUUUGAAAGGAAGAAAACUUACCAAGAGCAACUAUUUCGAACUCUGUUAAGAAAAUCUUGAAGAAAGUAUACAGAUGGCUAGCAAACAAUAAACUUCAAACUCGAAUCUGCCACUUCCACAAAAAAAUCAUGAAAAAUGUUGAGAGAUAACCAAAAAUCUAACAAGAAUCUCUUUACGCAUUCAUGACAAAAUAAUCAGCCAACCAGAAUAAAUGAAUGAAUGAAUCCUAGCAACAUAUAAAGUGAGCUAACAAUUUCAUACUACGAGAUGACCCCAAAUGAUGAAAUGGAGGUUUUAAAUUUCCCAAGAUGCAUUUCUUCAAAGCAAAUUUCAACAACCAGAUGCUUAAAUUGAACAACCAGUAGAGUAAUUUCAACGAGGCAAAGUAACGACACAUGAAAGCAUUACACCAACUUCCAAACAUCAAGAAAACUUGAGAGAAGUAGUCUUAUCUUAAAAAAAAUACAGAUAACACUAGCAGAAAACAAAGCAGGCAGCAAACUGGAGAAGCAAGAGCAUUCAAAGUGCUUAACAUAUUAAACAAAUUCCGAACCUGGUAACAGGAAAAAAAUAUAGUAUUUAGAGAAGAUAACACCAUUAUUCAACCCAGCGAAAACAACAUUCGACGAAGAAGAGCAACCAAAACGAGAUGAGGAUGAGGUUGUUACCUGCAACGAACUCUAGAAAUCGAUUUCCAAACCAGCAGACUCAGAAAGCUUCAGCUCCUAACUUUUGGAUAUCUAAAUCUAUAUAUCCUUCUCUGUAUAUUUUCUGCCUCUCCAACGUCUAUAUAUUUUUCCCAGGCAAAGAGGAGGUUUAUAUAGGAGGACUGAAUUGGGAUGAAAUGAUUGAAAGCUGGAAUUGUAACGGGAAAGAGAGGAGAGUCGUCCGAUUCCUUGGUGAAGGACGAAGGAGAUGCAAGAUUGGAAAGUUCAACAACGGUCAUUGUACGGAGAUGGAUUGUCGCGAUUCGGGUCACCUUCUUCGCGUGAAGAAGAAAGGGUUUCUUUGGUAUUAUGGAGUGGGCUGCUCAAUUGUUU